Oncorhynchus tshawytscha (Chinook salmon) is the source of this 2358-nucleotide long non-coding RNA. The record is from Ensembl. NCBI's taxonomy places the organism in Eukaryota, Metazoa, Chordata, Actinopteri, Salmoniformes, Salmonidae.
AAGGAGCUGAGAAGCUGUUCGGAGACCUCGGCUGUUUCUGUUGGAAUAAUGUGGAAUCUAAUGUCGUACGACAAGCCGGUUUUAUCUGGCCUGCUUUAAAACAAGACGCUCGGAGCCAUACAGAAGAAAAAAUGCAAAUCUGUGCUAAUUGCUAAAGAGAAAAGGAGACGAGGGCCAGUUAAUCAAGAAAGCUGCUUAAAGCAAUGCCAAAAUAACUCCACACCUCCUGACCUGAACAAACUGAGCACGCCACUGUGCAUGUGGCUUUCCACAGAAACUCAGCUGGGCUUUAAGGAUUGCUCUUAAGCCUGACAUGUUUGGCAGCUAUACAGCUUAAAUGUGACAACACUCCUUUUAGAGAUCUGCUUCCAUUCAUAUACGGAGGGUGGUGCGGACGGACCAGUACAUCACUGGGGCCGAGCUCCCAAACAUCGAAGACAUCUAUGCCAGGCGGUGUCUGAGGAAGGCCCCAAAAAUUGGAGAAGGGAAGUCCCACAGGGAGACAUUUCUGAGUUGUCUGAAGAACGCUGCACAUCUCUGAUGUCUAUGGCUCUCUCCCGUGUCUGGGGAGCGCACAGAGCUCCAUGGAACGCCCGCUCCUCUGAGCUGGAAGGACGCCAGUCGUCCGGGGAUCCAAACCUUGGCCCAAGGCCCGGCAGCAGCCUUCCACAGCCCUCCCCUCGCUCUUUCGCAAAUCCAUGUGUGCCAGCAGGCUUUGCUGGUAUCUAAUCUAAACCGGGUUUUUGUUUGUCUGCUGAGCUGGUUGAUGAAGAGGAAGCAGUCGGGGAGGAGAUAGAAGGGCAGUACAACGCUGGUGUCAGUAAGAUACCAGUUAUGCCUAGACCCUCCGAGCCCCUACAGGGACUGUUGGCCAAUCAGACCAAAGGUUUUCAAUGGUCCGAUAAGAGCUACGAACAGUUAAACACCCUACAGGAUAUGGCUCUGCUGUAUUGUAAUGUCUUACUGCUGUAUCGUCACAUUUGAUGCUAAAAUGCCGUAAGGUAGGUAGCUACAGUAGCUUAAGCCUGUCAAGCAUUUCUCUGUGUUAUCCAUGCCACCCAGGUCAGACAGAUGAUUCUGGUUUCAUUAGAAUCUCCUGCUAAAUAGCAAACAAGCUGAGAGGGAGGUUUGUGGGUCGAGUGAGGGUCGGCUGACUAGCGACUUUAGAGAGGCUCUCAAACAUCCAAUUUUUUUCUGAAUAAAUGUAGCAGACAAGCAGAAAAUAAAUAGGUAAAAACUCUCACCCACUUAAGGCCCAUCGUCUUUUCUGUGAGGACACUGGAGGUAAGGGGAAGUUCAUGUCAAGUAAUGGUUCCUGCUGUAUAAUCAAAACACUCUCCAUAGUUCAUUGCCUUGCAGACGAUGUAUACCUGCUUCAGUGUGGUGCUGAGUAAGUCUGUUUUGGUGACGUAUUACCGCCACACCAGCACUCACCAGGCAUAAAGGCAGUCAAAUUCCACAUGACCGGUAAUUAGGCUUCUCCAAUUUCUGAUGCUGAUGAUGGUCAUUAGUAGCCUACCAAACUAGCUAACUGCCUGGCACUCUGCACUCUAUUGUCCCUCUAAUCACUCUGACAUCAAUUCAGAUGUAAUUGAAAAUCUAAUCAAACACUUCAUGAGUGCCCAUGCUCAUGUUGCACAACAUUUCUAUAGGCUUUGCAAUUACGCGAGAAAACAGAGUGAUGGCCUCUAUUAAAAAAGAGGCGGAUCCCAUCAGCUUUCUACAGGCUAGGCCUACUGGCUUUAUUCACAACUUUCCUAAUAUUAAACACAUUGCUUAUUUUUUCAACAGGAGUAUAGCCUACCUGGCUGGCAUGAAAAUGAACCACAGGAAAAGCAUCCUCCAUUCACUAUUUAAGUGUAUAGAUGACAUGCAUUUUUUCUUGCUUGUGAAUGAUGACUAGCAUAAGAAACAAUACCUUUUUUUUAGCUACGUUUUUAAAUCAUAGUCGCACACCUCAUGUAGCCUAGCCCAUAGGCCUAUAUGUUUUGAUAAGGUUUGUAUCACAAUUAAAGUGGCCAAAUAACUUAUUUAAAUUAAGCAUAUUAACCUGCUGUACUCAGAGUAUGCUAUUCUGUUCUUCUGAAAUAGACUACAUUAUCUUCAUAUCAUGCUUUUUUUAGACCUGUCUAAAAUAAAUAAUGGAUUUAUUGUGAAAGUGUACGCUAUAUUACAUCAAUUUAUUAGACUUCUUAAAAGGUAGAUGUUCCAAAGGUCUGCAUCAGUGGCUUGUAGGCUAUCUGUGGAAUCCAGGAAAUGCUUAAUAUCUUUAUGUUUAUUAACGGUCAAUUACCAUUAGUUUUUUGCUUGAAAAUCACUGGCUGACAAAUUUUACGCCACAGCCCUAGUGCUGAGUAA